GAUGAACGCUGGCGGCGUGCCUAAUACAUGCAAGUCGAGCGAACGGACGAGAAGCUUGCUUCUCUGAUGUUAGCGGCGGACGGGUGAGUAACACGUGUAUAACCUACCUAUAAGACUGGGAUAACUUCGGGAAACCGGAUCUUAUACCGGAUGAUAUUCUGAACCGCAUGGUUCAAAAGUGAAAGACGGUCUUGCUGUCACUUCUAGAUGGAUCUGCGCUGCAUUAGCUAGUUGGUAAGGUAAUGGCUUACCAAGGCAACGAUGCAUAGCCGAGCGGAGAGGCGGAUAGGCGGCACGGGAACUGGACCAGCGUCCAGAGGCCUACGGGAGGGAGCAGUAGGGAAUCGUCCGCAAUGGGCGAGAGCCUGACGGAGCAACGCCGCGUGAGUGAUGGAGGUCUUCGGAUCUUAAAAAUCUGUUACUAGGGGAGAACAUAUGUGUAAGUAACUGUGCACAUCUUGACGGUACCUAAUCAGAAAGCCACGGCUAACUACGUG
RNAcentral lists this ribosomal RNA (497 nucleotides) under uncultured bacterium. RNAcentral describes it as "partial 16S ribosomal RNA". It matches the Rfam family "Bacterial small subunit ribosomal RNA", at positions 28 to 507 of the family's 1533-position model. The record is from RNAcentral.